AUUGAACGCUGGCGGCAGGCUUAACACAUGCAAGUCGAGCGGGGUGAUGGUGCUUGCACUAUCACUUAGCGGCGGACGGGUGAGUAAUGCUUAGGAAUCUGCCUAUUAGUGGGGGACAACAUCUCGAAAGUGAUGCUAAUACCGCAUACGUCCUACGGGAGAAAGCAGGGGAUCACUUGUGACCUUGCGCUACUAGAUGAGCCUAAGGCGGAUUAGCUAGUGGGUGGGGUAAAGGCCUACCAAGGCGACGAUCUGUAGCGGGUCUGAGAGGAUGAUCCGCCACACUGGGACUGAGACACGGCCCAGACUCCUACGGGAGGCAGCAGUGGGGAAUAUUGGACAAUGGGGGGAACCCUGAUCCAGCCAUGCCGCGUGUGUGAAGAAGGCCUUAUGGUUGUAAAGCACUUUAAGCGAGGAGGAGGCUCUUUUGGUUAAUACCCAAGAUGAGUGGACGUUACUCGCAGAAUAAGCACCGGCUAACUCUGUGCCAGCAGCCGCAGUAA
Molecule: ribosomal RNA, 503 nt
Filed under: uncultured bacterium
Lineage: Bacteria
Description: partial 16S ribosomal RNA
Rfam family: Bacterial small subunit ribosomal RNA
Source: RNAcentral